RNAcentral lists this ribosomal RNA (465 nucleotides) under Martinezella multihospitum. RNAcentral's name for it is "bacterial SSU rRNA". It matches the Rfam family "Bacterial small subunit ribosomal RNA", at positions 57 to 571 of the family's 1533-position model. The record is from RNAcentral. Lineage: Bacteria; Pseudomonadati; Pseudomonadota; Alphaproteobacteria; Hyphomicrobiales; Rhizobiaceae.
GCAGUCGAGCGCCCUUUAGGGGGAGCGGCAGACGGGUGAGUAACGCGUGGGAAUCUACCUUUUGCUACGGAAUAACGCAGGGAAACUUGUGCUAAUACCGUAUGUGUCCUUCGGGAGAAAGAUUUAUCGGCAAGAGAUGAGCCCGCGUUGGAUUAGCUAGUUGGUGGGGUAAAGGCCUACCAAGGCGACGAUCCAUAGCUGGUCUGAGAGGAUGAUCAGCCACAUUGGGACUGAGACACGGCCCAAACUCCUACGGGAGGCAGCAGUGGGGAAUAUUGGACAAUGGGCGCAAGCCUGAUCCAGCCAUGCCGCGUGAGUGAUGAAGGCCCUAGGGUUGUAAAGCUCUUUCACCGGAGAAGAUAAUGACGGUAUCCGGAGAAGAAGCCCCGGCUAACUUCGUGCCAGCAGCCGCGGUAAUACGAAGGGGGCUAGCGUUGUUCGGAAUUACUGGGCGUAAAGCGCACG